GGAGAGGUGGCAGAGUGGUUGAAUGCGGCGGUCUCGAAAACCGUUUCUGAAUUAACUCAGACGAGGGUUCGAAUCCCUCCCUCUCCGCUA
RNAcentral lists this transfer RNA (90 nucleotides) under cyanobacterium endosymbiont of Epithemia turgida isolate EtSB Lake Yunoko. Its description in RNAcentral is "tRNA-Ser". It matches the Rfam family "tRNA". From Rfam's summary of the family: Transfer RNA (tRNA) molecules are approximately 80 nucleotides in length. Their secondary structure includes four short double-helical elements and three loops (D, anti-codon, and T loops). The record is from RNAcentral. Lineage: Bacteria; Bacillati; Cyanobacteriota.